Molecule: ribosomal RNA, 482 nt
Filed under: uncultured bacterium
Lineage: Bacteria
Description: partial 16S ribosomal RNA
Rfam family: Bacterial small subunit ribosomal RNA
Source: RNAcentral
AUUGAACGCUGGCGGCAUGCCUUACACAUGCAAGUCGAACGGUAACGGGCCUUCGGGUGCCGACGAGUGGCGAACGGGUGCGUAAUACAUCGGAACGUGCCCGAUCGUGGGGGAUAACGAGGCGAAAGCUUUGCUAAUACCGCAUACGAUCUACGGAUGAAAGCAGGGGACCGCAAGGCCUUGCGCGGACGGAGCGGCCGAUGGCAGAUUAGGUAGUUGGUGGGAUAAAAGCUUACCAAGCCGACGAUCUGUAGCUGGCCUGAGAGGAUGAUCAGCCACACUGGGACUGAGACACGGCCCAGACUCCUACGGGAGGCAGCAGUGGGGAAUUUUGGACAAUGGGCGCAAGCCUGAUCCAGCCAUGCCGCGUGCAGGAUGAAGGCCUUCGGGUUGUAAACUGCUUUUGUACGGAACGAAAAGCCUUCUUUUAAUACAGGAGGGUCAUGACGGUACCGGAAGAAUAAGCACCGGCUAACUACGUG